UUGGUCAAAUCCGACUUUUGGCUGAUCCUACGAGCUACGACAGUUAUACCUACAAAUAUUUAGCGUUUCGUGCUGCAAUUAGUAGUUGAUAUUCUAGGAUGUUAUGCCUAAAAUUGGAAUUCAGCUAUCAGAGAUUAGCAACAUUCAAACGGAAACUGUAGAUGGCGUUGAUGUGCGUCUAUGAUGAAGAUUUUGAGUGACAAGUUAAAUGGGUGUUUGUUACGUUACCCUAUUAUGUGUUUCAAAGGAUUUUUCGUCAAAAAUUUACGAUUGCUUUUUGUAUGUGGUGGUGUUGCGCCUUGUCAGCUACGCCAGCUGCUGAACCAGUAACCUGCAUUCCUGCUAUCAAUGUACCACAAAAGAUCCUGACACUUUAAGAAGGCAACUAUUGCUUACAUGAAGAUCACCAUCCAGUUCAAGCACUAUUAAUGGACCUCAAGCCUUUCGUUUAAGCUUAGUGAUGUGUUCUCUCAUCAAUCAACGACAGAGUCUUCAUCUACUUUGUGUUGCUAACCAUCAGCCCUCAGCAUCCCAGGUAUCCAGAUUUCCAAGUUUCUCUGAUUAGCCAACCAUCAUCCAUACCCUUCAGCUCUUCAUUGUGGCUUCUCUUCCUCUUAUCUUAGUCUGCUGAAUGCCAACAUUGAAUAAUGUUCAUCAUCAUUGCCUUUCCAUGAAAAUUUUCAUUAUUAAUCCUGCUGUUCUUCUCACCGUUACUUAGCCAUCUCACAUGGAUAGGCUUUAACAACAUCUCCAUUUUUUGGACUUCAAAUAUUCAUUUUCCUUCGGUACAACACUGCCGUUUUGACAAUUUCGGUAGUUUCGCUCCCAGUUGACCACACGCAACUACAUUUUCUUCGUCUUCCUGUCGUUGUUGUCUACGACUUCACCUCAUCGCUGUCUUCGUUGACAUCUUCGCCUUUAUCUCCGUCUCAUCGUCUUGGUCGUCUUCGCCUUCA
Molecule: long non-coding RNA, 956 nt
Organism: Daphnia magna
Lineage: Eukaryota; Metazoa; Arthropoda; Branchiopoda; Diplostraca; Daphniidae
Exons: 7
Source: RefSeq, a predicted model, not a curated record